CUCCGCACCGUGUGCAGCGUCUUCGGCCUUGAGGCCCUGAGGACUGUGGGGCCUACACUGUGGGGAUCCUGCAGGGGAAGCACACAGCACCCUGUCCUCUCACCCAAGCAGAACAGCACUUCCUGUCCUUAUUCAAAAGCAGAGCUUAAAGAUCACUUCCUGGACAGGUGCAGCUGCAGAUCUAUGGCCUUCUGGAAGCUGAGUUUCUCUGCAUGCCACCCAGAGAUCAAGUCCACGUAGAAUAAAUUCCACGUCCCAGCAGGAUCUGGAAGCUGGAGGAUUAGGAGGUCAAGGUCAUCUUCUACUACGUAGUGAGGAGAGGAGUUUCUGAUCCACUGGACCUGCUGCUGCCCCUCUGUGCUGCCAGAUGCCGUGCUGUGCUGUGGGAUGCUGAGCUGCUUCCAGACACUUGGGACCCACACAGCCAUUGAGGCCCUGCCGAGGCGACUACAACUUGCCUGCAGUCUGAAUCCUGUUUGCUCUGGAGCCGGACUAGGAAUGCAAACUGAAACAUUUGACUGUUUUAAUCUUUGGGUGGGACAAGAACUCAUUUGAUUAAAAUACUGGACCUGAGAACUAAGACCCAAGCUUUCCCCUCAGGGAAAG
Myodes glareolus (Bank vole) is the source of this 606-nucleotide non-coding RNA. The record is from RefSeq and is a predicted model, not a curated record. NCBI's taxonomy places the organism in Eukaryota, Metazoa, Chordata, Mammalia, Rodentia, Cricetidae.